Molecule: long non-coding RNA, 4860 nt
Filed under: Bemisia tabaci
Lineage: Eukaryota; Metazoa; Arthropoda; Insecta; Hemiptera; Aleyrodidae
Description: lncRNA ENSASIAIIG009436
Source: RNAcentral
AUGGCUUGGUUUUUGCAGAUCCCUACGGAGGAUACUAUAGAGGCAGGAUGUCUCAAAGCGAGACGGAGAGGAGACACGAAUGCGACAUUUGCGGGGCAAGCUACAAGAACUACCGCCAUCUUGUCGACCACAAGAAAUCUCACACCUCCAAGACCUACUGCUACCUCUGUCACAAGAACCUGUCCACCGUCUCGCAUCUCAAGGUCAAGCGACGGACGGCUACCGUCUGACAGAUCCGGGGAAGAAGUUCUCGUGCAGAAUCUGUGGCUACUCGUACGCCAACGCCAACAGCCUGAGCAAGCACAGGAAGUCGCACACCGGUCAGACUGUCUGCAGGAUCUGCCGCAAAAUGUCCUCGACCUACCCCAACCUUCGCAGGCACAUGCUCAUGAUUCACAACAUAGCCGAGUAAUGUAGCGCAGAAAUCGCUCAAAAAGUUCCGAGUUUUCCACUCGAUGUUGAUCGGGUUUCUUCCAUCAAGCUCCAUUUAUGUUUGAAGCCUAAUAGCAUUCUUUCAAUUUUCCAAGUGUGUCAACGUGAUUUAUCCUUAAAAUUGUCAUAUUUUUUUUUUCGUUUUGAUAUAAAGACUAUUUUGAGUUACUAGUUUCUUAUCUUUGGCCUUAUUUUUUGGUAGAGUCUUUAUCCAAACUGCUGAAAAUAUAAAUUCUGCACGUAGUCACCAUUGUGGUAAACGGGUUUUUCCAUCUACACAUCGUCGCGUCGCGUCGCUCCACGGGCGUAAGGGCGUACCUCGAUUUCCGCAUGAUCCCUUGAACGCAUGAAUUAAUAUGUAAACAAGGCUCACGUGGAAAAUGAGUUACGCCCUUACGUUAGAGGACCCAACGAUAUGUGUUUCUCAAAUUAGUAGCAUAUAGCUCUGAAAUUAUGAAACACCAUUUGAACUAAUUUUUGCAUUAAGGAACUGGUAUUUUUGGCUACUUUUGGGGCAGCAUUUCUGGCAACUAUUUUCCUAUACGGAUGCGUACUAUUACGGAUGAGCCCGAAAUAGUAUUUUCUUAUCGCAAAAUGUCGUCCAUUCGUAAGGAAACUAGAGAGGAUUAUCUACUUCGGUCCGAGAUAUGUGUAGCACUGCUUUCUUUGCCAUUUGGAGUGCGUGUUGCUAUAAAGAACCACUAUUUGUAGCUUUUCCAAAAAAUCAUAUUUCUGCCCUGGGAAACCUAUGGCACAUAUGCUGUUUUAAAAAUGAGCCAAAAAUAGUGGUUCCCUAUUGCAAAAUGUGGUCUAUUUAUGACAGCCUUUGAGCACGAAGUAUAAAAAUUUGUCUCAAUUAUGAAUUCAAACUUUCUCCAAAAAGGCUAAUAGAUUUUUUACUUCAUUCCCCAAUUCAAUAAGAUUCCUGUUGUAUACAAGCGUCCAAUGGAGAUGUUGCAUGUGUGAAGAAUUUGCGAUUUGACUGUUGAUUCUUAUGUAAAAGUUCGCGAGAACCACGAUGGUGCCACUGGUUUUCUUAGACUUCAACUCCCAAGCUCAAAAAAAGCUCUCAAGUUUGAGCUCCUCAAAAUGGAGGGGACAUCCCACGCUACCCUGAGAGUCCACUUCUACAUCAAGAAAAACUCUCCAUGCAAAGACAGGGAGCAAAUACAUUAGCAGGGUUGCCGUAUUUUCAGUUUUAGAGUCCCCAAAUAAGGUGGCAGCCCUGUCAAUGUAUUUGCUCCCUAUCUUCGCAUGGAAAGUUUGUCUUGACGUAGACGUGGACUCUCAGAGUAGGGUGGGAUAUCCCCUCCAUUUUGGCCUCAACUUGAGAGCUUUUUUGAGCUUGGGAGUUGAUUUCAGGGAAAACCAGUGGCACCAUCGUGUUUCUCGCGAACUUUUACAUAAGAAUCAAUUGUCAAAUCGCAAAUUCCUCACUCAUGCACGUCUCCAUUAAGCCAAGGAAAACAGCAAUGACCUGGAUUUAACCGGAUUGGUUCUCCGUUCCUGUUCACAGGUUCGUUAUCCGUAAGUCCCGGGUCCAAGGAGCGUUCCCCUUCCAGUCGAGGCCGAGCGGGGACGAAAAAGCACUCGUGCCAGAUUUGCGGUCAGUCCUACGUUAACCUGUGCAGUCUCGUGAGGCACAUGGACUACCACACCGGCGUCACCCUCUGCAAAUUGUGCGGCAAAACCUUCUCCACCAACAACAACAUGCAGCGCCACGUCUUGCUCGUCCACAAUCGGCUUCUCGAACAGUAGACAUGGUUCCAUAGCUGAAAUGAAAAAUAGCGAUUUCCGUGAAAUAUUUCAUGAAAUUUCACACAAUUGUGGGAAAUAUGAAACAUCACGGAAAAAAAGAGCACGGGGUUGUUGGAUGACAUAGACAUUUCCAAUUGGAUGUCUUUAUGCUAAAAGGAACUAUGUAUAUAGGAUUUGCAUGUAACAUAGUUUCUUUUAGAAUAAAUACGUCCAAGAGGUCCGAGAGAUAAUGGGCGUUGAAGGGACGAUUGUGCACGAUAUCAUGACCAAGCAAUUGGUAUGGUAUGGGCAUGUGCAGAGAAUGACUGAUACCAGGUUGCCGAAGAAGGUGUUGGAGUGGGUCCCCCCAGGUAGGCGACGGAGAGGGUCCAGCCGAACGGUGGGUAGAGGGCAUCCGUGAAGAGAUGGAGAGAUGCCAGCUUCCGGAGGAUCUCUACCGUGACAGAUACCUGUGGAGAGUACCUAGGCGUCGCAGAGCGCCCUAGCGCGCCGUGAAAGCGGCUCAUACAUACAUACCUACGUCCAAUUUAUGGUUGUAGUACCUAAACGAACCCAAAUGUUGCGGGAGUACCCCAUCUUGAGUUGCGGUAACCUCACAAUUGGACGUAUUUCUGUCAAACGGAACUAUGUGCAUUAUGACAUAAGCCCUGAGACUCAUAAGAAUAUAUACACAUAAUGCUUAUUGUUCCGUUCGGCAGAAAUACGUCCAAUCAAUGUAAAAUGUCCAUAUCAUCCAACAAAUUUCGGUCGUACCAUAAUUUUAGGGGUCAACUCCUAACACUUUUUUUCCGUGAUACCUAUUUUUAGGGACCGAGUAUGCAACUUACAGUAAGAAAUACUAAUAAGGGAAAAUCAGUUGUCUCUCAUUUAAUUUUGCAAUUAAUUUUGAAAAAUAUCUCUUAUCAUCUUUCGAAUUUUUCUGAAAUUUCAUGAAAUAUUUCACAUGAAAUUUCAAGAUUUCAUUUUCACGAAAAAUGCAACCCUGACAAUAGAUCGCACCUUUAAUCAUGAUCGCAAUCGUAGAAUAUUUUAGGAAUAACGACCACCCUAUAUCUUCAAGUCUUCGAGAAUCGAUAAAUGUUGUGUUUUAGUAUCGUCCGUAGAGUUGAACUGAUCAUUGAAAUUGAUAGACAAAGCGAUAGAAUGAUGGACCAAAUAUCGGGUCUUUCAAGGAUUGUCGUCAGCUAGGUCCAUCACUUCACCGGUAGGUUUGUUAUAGCGUCCCCUUAUCUUCUUUGUUUAUACCUUUGUCUAUCAGUUCCAAUGAUGAACCCACACAGUUCGAAUAUAAAGCGUCCACCCGACUCGGCGUUUUUUCUUUUUUCGCGAGAGAGUGAUCGUUAAAAAAUGAAUAUAUAAUAAAACUCGUAAAAGAAAAGUAAAACAUCUUUAAAUACUUAAAAUACAUGCAGUUACUAGGAAUCUUUUUUUGUUUGCAUAUAAAAAAUUUCAACUUAACAAGUCCACUUUUGCGACGUUUUUAUCACUUUUUUCUAAGUAAUUUGAGCAAAAGUGUUUUGUUAUGUAUACCGCAUAUUUUGCAGUCUACUUUACUUUUUGCAUUAAUAAUAUAAUCGACUCUUAGACUAUAACAACAUUUUAAAUUUAUUUUCAUUACUUUUUUUAAGUACUCGUACAUAAAUCACAUGCACUUUGCCUUUAAAAAGCAAACGGGGUCUACUUAUUAGUAUAUUUUACCGUUUUUUUACGUGUUUUUUUUUUCAAAUUCAACAGUCAAUUUUCAACUUAAUGGUAAAUUUCAAGCAUAAUGGUGAAACACACCUUCAGUCAAUCAUCAGCGAUUUAAAACCUCGCUUUAGCUGUCCGAGUAAUGUAAAAUGGUGAACCAGGAUUUCUUAUUUUCGGCAAUGUCGCACGUAUUGUAGGAAAAUAAACACGCUUAAAAUUUUUUAUGGUGCACUUUUUAUAGACUCAAGAAAAUGGGGGAAAAAGGAUGAGCACACAGACUUCUACUUCAAGAUUCGUAGCAUCUAAAAAUCAUUCCACGAAUGAAAUUUACGCAAUUUUAGGGGGGGGGUGCGAUUAUUUUUAUAAGCUCUACAUUACAAUGUUUCAUAAUAAAUAUAUUUUAUUUGUUAACCGAUAUCUUCGUUCUUCAUUUCUAGUACAAACAUUAAUUCAUCCGUCCCAUGAUUUUUUCCGAUAGCGUUUUGUCUGCCUCAGCAAUCACUGAAGAAUCCCGCCUUAAUUUUGAGAACUUUUGCCCGCGAGCUCAGAAACCUCAAUAAGAAAUAUCUAGAUACCCCGUCGAAUGUAAGAACUUUAGAAUUGAAUAUUAUUGAUGAUUUGAUAAAAUCCUUUUCCUGUGUUCGGAUCAUGUUGAUUGAUACCGAUAAUCCAAUAAUUCUUACUGUAAUCGUUGCGCCGUCAACAUAGCAGAUACCCUUCAAACGCCACACUGUUACUCGUAGGUCCUGAUGUGCCAAUUUCAUACUGCUCUUACCGGAAUGUAGACACACCGUGUUCUAUAGCGAGCAUGCAUAUAGCGUUCAUAUAUCGCGAGCUUACGCCUCGCGUCAACGCGCCUUCAAUUUUGCAGAUGCAGCAUGGACAUCCUUCAACCACGAACAGUCGUAUCUCUACGCCGUCAUCAACGCUCGUCCCUUUCCUUGCUGUUUUUCGAUGUUGGGUCGAUUUCGUUUAGCUACG